UGAAAAUGUCAACAUCUCUGAUGCUUUUUGUACUCAGAUUAUUAAUAAUAAGAAACCAAAAUUUGUGUAUAAGAGUCUUAUUGAUCAUAUAUUUCAACCUCCCCUUGAAAAUUUUCAGAAAAGGGAGCAGCUGAUAGACUCAGAAAUUGAAAAUUGGCAAAAAUAUUUUAUGCUACUAAGAAAGUCUUGCAAAGACACCUACUUAAAAAGUUUUCAAUAUAAAAUACUGCACCAAAUAAUUCCUAUAAACUCUUUUUUGUACAAGAUAAAAAAGAAAGAUUCUAGUUCAUGUACUUUUUGUAAACUAGAUGACGAAACUAUUGUACGUUUUUUCUAUGAUUGUCCAAUAACAU
RNAcentral lists this long non-coding RNA (353 nucleotides) under Mytilus galloprovincialis (Mediterranean mussel). The record is from RNAcentral. Lineage: Eukaryota; Metazoa; Mollusca; Bivalvia; Mytilida; Mytilidae.